Long non-coding RNA from Vulpes vulpes (red fox), 2231 nucleotides. Lineage: Eukaryota; Metazoa; Chordata; Mammalia; Carnivora; Canidae. The record is from Ensembl.
GGCAGCCAGACCCACAGGAGAGGCCCAGGACUUCCUAUUGGGGAUCAUAAUCAAGGAGCUUCUGAAGGGAGGCCCUUUAGGCAGAACUGCACAUUUUCCAAAACACAAUGGUAUGCUUUACUCCACUGACUCCUUACAAGUCAUGGAGCAAAACAGACGGGGCAAGUACUAUUACUCUUACUUCGUAGACAUAUCUGAGCUCAGAGAGUGACUGAGAAGAACUAAGAAAUAAGAACUAAGUAGUUCUAAGAACAGUAGAACUAAGAAGUUCUGUGCCCAGCGUCAACUGACUGCUCUUCCCAUCCUUGAUCUACUCAUAUACUGCCUGCUAACUUCUCUGUGCCCUUGUUGUGAGAUUGGCAAGUGGUAGGGCCAGGUCUGUAGCAGCCUUCACCAGCCACUCACCAACAUGGCCUUUCUCCUGACACUGUCUUCCCAGGCUGCUGUCACUGGACAUCAUUCCUCCUCUGUGUCCUUCUCAUAGCACAGCAGCAGCUAUUCAGGAGAAAGAGCCCCUUGAACAACUGCUGGUAGGGCAUGUGAUUGUACAUACCCAGAACCCAGUGUGGGGGGCCCGCAGAAACCAGGAGUUUGCUCCAUCCAUGUUUAUGCCCAGGACUUGUGUCACCAGGCAUUUCUGCUGAACUGGGACAAUACCUCUGGAGAUAUAGAAUGGGUAACAUCUGAAAGCAUCCAUUACCCAAACAUGUAACUUGUCUAAUUGCCCUUCCUGGGACAGGAUCCACCUCUAAGUUCUACAGGUCAGGCCUGGAGUCCACACCUCAGCUCUAUGAGGAGAACACAGUUCUUGGGGAAGAAAACCAGUCUUCAGGCUCAGCUGAGGCACAUUUUCAGAGAUGGAUGGUAAUAGUCAUAAACUGUGCUCAUUCCCAUGUCCCUUUCCUCCUUAGCUACACCAGUCAUCAACUAGAAAAGCAAAGAGAAGGAGGCGGAGAUAAAAGAGCUAACCAGAUUCACAAAGUCCUAUGGCUAUUCUCAUGGGAGAAUAGGGGCUACUUCCUGAGAAGUCCCAACCAUGGGCUCCAGGGACAAAUAGCUCCAGGAAAUCCUUCAUCUCUUUGCAACCCACAGAUACUCAGAUACUCAUCUAGAGCCUCCACCUGGGAUGCUUGUCACCAGGUCCCUUUGAGCAGUCACUUGAGCCACCUGGUGGCAAAGCUUGGAGCUUUGCGAGGAGAGCAGCCAGGUGAACAACUGUCUAUGACUGCAGGUGGAGCAGCAGUUGGAUGGUGGGGGGCAGGAGGGCGGUAUGCAAAGCCAGCCUCAGCCCCUCCUCUGUCAACCAGGACAUCCCAACCCACACAGAGCCUGGAAACCAGCAGCACCCCUUCCAAGGUAAGAAGGAAAAAGUGCCAGGAAGCCCACAGUCCAUGGGACCGCACCAAGAUGUCUGUGGCAGAAGGGGUAAUCUUGCCUCUUCUGAUCUCCUUAGGCUUGGGGUGAAAUCAGAGGCUUCAAUAGAGAGUCUUGGGUGAGAGCAUGGGAUUUAGGUCAGACCUGGCUCCGGAUUUGGAGUUUGCCACAUACAGGUUGCUUGUCUUGGGCAAGGUGUUUUAAUUCUGCAGAUAUUCAAGCCUUAGUUUCCUCACUUUAAGGUGGGAAUAUAACAACAGAGAGAGAGUACAGUUAUUUGGAGCAUUAUGUGAAAUAAUUUGCAAGUGCCUGCCACAAUAAGAAUUGCUCAACAAGUAACAGUUUUAUAAAUUAAUAUCUAUCUCUUGUAUUCGUGGAGUGCUUUAAAAUUUACCAAGUCUUCAAAUAUUUUCAUCUGUGGUCGGGCAGGAUUAUGCUCUCUGUAUUUGACUUGAGAAAACUCAGGCAUUGAGACAUUAAUUGACAUGCUAAGGUUUAUAGCAGCUGAGAAACCAACCCAGGAUUUGGAACUGACUUUUUUAAAUACUUAAAAUUUUUUUAUUUUUUAAAAGAUUUUAUCUAUUUAUUCAUGAGAGACACACACAGAGAGAGAGACAGAGACAAUAGGCAGAAGGAGAAGCAUGUUCCAUUCAGGGAACCUGAUGGGUGACUUGAUCCUGGGACUCCGGGAUCAUGCCCUGAGCCAAAGGCAGACACUCAACCACUGAUCCACCCAGGUGCCCAUUGACAUUUUUAAAAAAGUAUUCUCUGAUGUGAUGUGGGCUAGGAGUGAAGGGUCAAGAAAGGAUACUUGAGACAUUUCCAGUGCAAUAAAAGGGUAGUUUUAUCAUAUAGCA